GGGGUCGUGGCAGACAAGUAAUGCACCUGCUUUGCAAGCCGGUUGAUGUGGGCGCGCUACCCACCGACUCCACCA
Molecule: transfer RNA, 75 nt
Filed under: Verrucomicrobiota bacterium
Lineage: Bacteria; Pseudomonadati; Verrucomicrobiota
Description: Verrucomicrobia bacterium (drinking water metagenome) tRNA-Ala
Rfam family: tRNA
About the family: Transfer RNA (tRNA) molecules are approximately 80 nucleotides in length. Their secondary structure includes four short double-helical elements and three loops (D, anti-codon, and T loops).
Source: RNAcentral